UCGAGAGGCUUUGGCAAUGGGGGAAACCCUGACCAAGCGACGCCGCGUGGAGGAUGAAGGCCCUUGGGUUGUAAACUCCUUUUGCUAGGGAAGAAAUGCGAUCAGGUGAACAAUCUGGUCGUUUGACGGUACCUGGCGAAUAAGCUCCGGCUAACUCCGUGCCAGCAGCCGCGGUAACACGGGGGGAGCAAGCGUUGUUCGGAAUCACUGGGCGUAAAGGGCGUGUAGGCGGUCAAGUAAGUGGGAUGUGAAAUCCCUCGGCUCACCCGAGGACCUGCAUCCCAAACUGCUUGGCUUGAGUAUGGGAGAGGAUGAGGGAAUUCCUGGUGUAGCGGUGAAAUGCGUAGAUAUCAGGAGGAACACCGGUGGCGAAGGCGCUCAUCUGGCCCAAUACUGACGCUGAGGCGCGAAAGCUAGGGGAGCAAACGGGAUUAGAUACCCCCGUAGUCC
Molecule: ribosomal RNA, 450 nt
Filed under: uncultured bacterium
Lineage: Bacteria
Description: bacterial SSU rRNA
Rfam family: Bacterial small subunit ribosomal RNA
Source: RNAcentral